GGGGAAAAGAAACAGUGUGCUCAUCAGACAAAUUCCUUUUGAGAGUACAUUCAAGAAGCUCCUACUUUCCAGUGUGAGAAAUCCAGCUCCAAAGUGUUUCUGGAAAAAGUUGUGAGUUGUGGAUCACCGGCUUUCCAAAGAAGGGAGAGGAAAAGCAGAAACAACAGGAAACUAUCAAGCAGAUUACCGUAUCCUAGGCAAUUCCUCAUAAGACAAAAGACUAACGCAGAGCUGAGUUAUCAGGAAAUGACACUACAUAAUCAAUCCCAUCAUUUCUAUAACCAGUUCCAGGUUUGCAAGUACCCUUUCCAAUCUAAACCUGCUGUUUUCAGCAACUUUCAUCCUCCAACAGGAGACGACCGCUACUUCGUGCACCAUCUAAUAUUUGUGCACCAUCUGACAUUUUAGUUUUUGGAAAGAGACUCCAUCCCAGCCAGACCCAACACAGAGACUUGCAGUAUGAGUUGUUCGCUUGAACCAUGACUCAUCAUGGCUCGCAGUCACACCCAAGCAAACGAUGAACGGACUGGCCAAUCGCUCGGGAACAGGAGGAAAUCCAGAUAGGCACGGCAGAUGGGCUAAGAUUGGCUGCCUCCUCUUGCUGGAUCACCGCAGUGACAUACAUGUUUGUAAUCACUCCAGCUUCUCGACUGAGGCUCCAGCUUGUUGUGUCUAAUUUCAAUGAGGAAAGUACUUACUCAGUUCUUCAGUCUGACUAUGAGUGAGAAACAAGCUAUUACACCAUAAUUUCUUUCUCUAUUGUGUGGGAAGUCGGCAUUGCAUCAUCCCUAGGACUGAGAACAAGAGAUGAAGAUCCCUUCUUGGUGGGUGCGGUCCAAGGUUUGGUAGUCUAUCUUCAAGUCAGAGAUAUGCAGCUUCUGGAAGGAGACUGUGGCAUCUGCCCUCUGUGGCAUCCUUGAACAGACAAGCAGAUGGAGUUUACCCCCCUCCCGUGUGGCCAACAGGAUCCCCGCCCCCAGU
This is a long non-coding RNA of Oxyura jamaicensis (ruddy duck), 981 nucleotides long. RefSeq lists it as uncharacterized. The transcript has 4 exons. Lineage: Eukaryota; Metazoa; Chordata; Aves; Anseriformes; Anatidae. The record is from RefSeq and is a predicted model, not a curated record.